GACAGUUCGGUCCCUAUCCGUCGCAGGCGUAGGAAAUUUGAGAAGACCUGUCCUUAGUACGAGAGGACCGGGAUGGACGUACCUCUGGUGUACCAGUUGUCCUGCCAAGGGCAUGGCUGGGUAGCUAUGUACGGAAUGGAUAAGCGCUGAAAGCAUCUAAGCGCGAAGCCAACUUCAAGAUAAGAUUUCCCACCGCAAGGGUAAGACCCCAGAAAGACUAUCUGGUUG
Molecule: ribosomal RNA, 228 nt
Filed under: Clostridioides difficile
Lineage: Bacteria; Bacillati; Bacillota; Clostridia; Peptostreptococcales; Peptostreptococcaceae
Description: partial 23S ribosomal RNA
Rfam family: Bacterial large subunit ribosomal RNA
Source: RNAcentral